RNAcentral lists this ribosomal RNA (1470 nucleotides) under Streptococcus sp. Its description in RNAcentral is "bacterial SSU rRNA". It matches the Rfam family "Bacterial small subunit ribosomal RNA". The record is from RNAcentral. Lineage: Bacteria; Bacillati; Bacillota; Bacilli; Lactobacillales; Streptococcaceae.
GACGAACGCUGGCGGCGUGCCUAAUACAUGCAAGUAGAACGCUGAAGAGAGGAGCUUGCUCUUCUUGGAUGAGUUGCGAACGGGUGAGUAACGCGUAGGUAACCUGCCUUGUAGCGGGGGAUAACUAUUGGAAACGAUAGCUAAUACCGCAUAACAAUGGAUGACACAUGUCAUUUAUUUGAAAGGGGCAAUUGCUCCACUACAAGAUGGACCUGCGUUGUAUUAGCUAGUAGGUGAGGUAACGGCUCACCUAGGCGACGAUACAUAGCCGACCUGAGAGGGUGAUCGGCCACACUGGGACUGAGACACGGCCCAGACUCCUACGGGAGGCAGCAGUAGGGAAUCUUCGGCAAUGGGGGCAACCCUGACCGAGCAACGCCGCGUGAGUGAAGAAGGUUUUCGGAUCGUAAAGCUCUGUUGUAAGUCAAGAACGAGUGUGAGAGUGGAAAGUUCACACUGUGACGGUAGCUUACCAGAAAGGGACGGCUAACUACGUGCCAGCAGCCGCGGUAAUACGUAGGUCCCGAGCGUUGUCCGGAUUUAUUGGGCGUAAAGCGAGCGCAGGCGGUUUGAUAAGUCUGAAGUUAAAGGCUGUGGCUCAACCAUAGUUCGCUUUGGAAACUGUCAAACUUGAGUGCAGAAGGGGAGAGUGGAAUUCCAUGUGUAGCGGUGAAAUGCGUAGAUAUAUGGAGGAACACCGGUGGCGAAAGCGGCUCUCUGGUCUGUAACUGACGCUGAGGCUCGAAAGCGUGGGGAGCGAACAGGAUUAGAUACCCUGGUAGUCCACGCCGUAAACGAUGAGUGCUAGGUGUUGGAUCCUUUCCGGGAUUCAGUGCCGCAGCUAACGCAUUAAGCACUCCGCCUGGGGAGUACGACCGCAAGGUUGAAACUCAAAGGAAUUGACGGGGGCCCGCACAAGCGGUGGAGCAUGUGGUUUAAUUCGAAGCAACGCGAAGAACCUUACCAGGUCUUGACAUCCCGAUGCUAUUUCUAGAGAUAGAAAGUUACUUCGGUACAUCGGUGACAGGUGGUGCAUGGUUGUCGUCAGCUCGUGUCGUGAGAUGUUGGGUUAAGUCCCGCAACGAGCGCAACCCCUAUUGUUAGUUGCCAUCAUUCAGUUGGGCACUCUAGCGAGACUGCCGGUAAUAAACCGGAGGAAGGUGGGGAUGACGUCAAAUCAUCAUGCCCCUUAUGACCUGGGCUACACACGUGCUACAAUGGUUGGUACAACGAGUUGCGAGUCGGUGACGGCAAGCCAAUCUCUUAAAGCCAAUCUCAGUUCGGAUUGUAGGCUGCAACUCGCCUACAUGAAGUCGGAAUCGCUAGUAAUCGCGGAUCAGCACGCCGCGGUGAAUACGUUCCCGGGCCUUGUACACACCGCCCGUCACACCACGAGAGUUUGUAACACCCGAAGUCGGUGAGGUAACCUUUUGGAGCCAGCCGCCUAAGGUGGGAUAGAUGAUUGGGGUG